AACCUACACCUUAUCCGCCAGGGAAUUACGAGCCCAAGCUUAAAACCCAAAGGACUUGACGGUGUCCCACCCACCUAGAGGAGCCUGUUCUAUAAUCGAUUCCCCCCGAUACACCUCACCAUUUCUAGCUUUCUCAGCCUGUAUACCUCCGUCGCAAGCUUACCAUGUGAACGUUUUCCUAGUGAGCAGAAAAAUCAUUUCAUAAAUACGUCAGGUCAAGGUGCAGCCCACGAAAUGGGAAGCAAUGGGCUACAAUUUCUACCUUAGAACACACGAAAGACCACAUGCAACUCAGUCAUGAAGGCGGAUUUAGCAGUAAAAAGAAAAUAGAGAGUUCUUUUUAAUCAGGCGCUGGGACGCGUACACACCGCCCGUCACCCUCUUCAAACGCCCACAUCCAGUAUUUAACAUAAAACUGCAUUACAGAAGAGGUAAGUCGUAACACGGUAAGCGUACUGGAAAGUGCGCUUGGAUA
Molecule: ribosomal RNA, 475 nt
Rfam family: Bacterial small subunit ribosomal RNA